This 502-nucleotide ribosomal RNA is filed under the name Xanthoporia andersonii. RNAcentral describes it as "SSU rRNA". It matches the Rfam family "Bacterial small subunit ribosomal RNA", at positions 412 to 911 of the family's 1533-position model. Lineage: Eukaryota; Fungi; Basidiomycota; Agaricomycetes; Hymenochaetales; Hymenochaetaceae. The record is from RNAcentral.
AAAUCUUUGGUGUGUCAUCGAGGAUAACGUAAGGGAAAAUAAUGAUUAUACCUUACUAUUAGUGUCGUCCAAGUACUCGUGCCAGAAGACUCGGUAAGGCGAGAGACGCAAACGUUAGUCGUCUUGAUCAGGCGUAAAGGGUUUGUAGGCGGCUUUAAGCAUCCAAUAUUAAGUUUACAAUUAUAAUACUGCGAUCUAUAGUGUUAUAAUUUUUAAUAAAGGAUCAUUUAAAGCUAGAAUCUAACAGAGGUCAAUACAAUGCUUAAGACAAGGUGUACAAACCGUAGAUAAAUAGUAGAGUGUUAAGGGCGAAGGCGUUUUUCCACUGAAGAUUGACGCUGAGAAACGAAGGUGAGGACAGAAAAAAGGAUUAGAGACCCUUGUAUCCCUCACUGUAAACGAUGAGUGGCAGUUACUAGUAAGAAAUAGACUAGAGACGAUGUUAACACGAAGACCAUUCCGCCUUGUGAGUACGACUGCAAAGUUGAAAACAAAAAAAUUA